Molecule: microRNA, 19 nt
Filed under: Corchorus olitorius
Lineage: Eukaryota; Viridiplantae; Streptophyta; Magnoliopsida; Malvales; Malvaceae
Also listed under: 1 other name
Description: bta-miR-28
Source: RNAcentral
GGGGGGGGGGGGGGGUUGG